UUUUUCACUCCACAAAGGAGAACAUGUCAUGGAAGUGACUUGCCUAAGAACAUACUUCAAGCUAUCUCUUCACCAAGAGAACUCUAAGUUAGACAAAAGGACGAAUCUGUGGAAGGCUGUCAGCAGGAUACAAUGCUCAUGUGUGUGCCAAGCAUUUUUUAAAUUAGCCAACUGUCCUCACCAGAGGCUGUGACUGACAAAAAAUCAUAUCACCAUAUCCAGGCUGGGCGCGGAGGCUCACGCCUGUAAUCCCAGCACUUUGGGAGGCCGAGACAGGCAGAUUGGUUGACGUCAGGAGUUCAAGACCAGCCUGGCCAACAUGGUGAAACCCCAUCUCUGUCAACGAGACCCAAGGGUACAUCAACCACCCAAAUCCAUCAUGAUCCUAUGUGGGUUCUGCCUAAGGAAGACUUUCAAGGCAGGAGGCCCUUGAGGAAGAACAGAAUCAUCAUGUCAUCAUCCAGGGUCCUCUAUCUCUGGCAAAGACUGGCCUGAUGAAUGGGAUCAGAGCUGGAGGCCUGGGUAUCUUUUGACUGCAAGAGUUAGGGGUGGCGGGGUCGAUACAGUCCUGCGGCAGCCAAGACAUCCCCAACCUGUCCCUGAAUAACAGACAAGUCUACAUUUCCUGAAAUUCUGUAUCACUGUAUUGGCAAUAAACACCUAGAGAAGUAAGAAAGGAGGAGCUCCUACAACACAAGGCUACCAUUGCUGCCUUCUGCACUUGUUCUUUUUGCUCUCCUCUCUGUUCACUCGUUUGUAGUAAAUAGCUCUUAAAUCUUUAAAACAAAAAUUAAAUAGAGAAAGAAAUCAUACAGAAUCAUAGAGACAAAGUAAAACAGUGGUUGCCAGGGGCUGGCAAAGUAGAUAAUGGGAAGUUAGUGUUUAAUGGGUACAGAGUUUCAGCUUUACGAGAUGAAAAGAGUGUUGGAGAUGGAUGGUGGGGAUGGUUGCCCAAUAAUGUGAAUGUACUUGAUGCCACUCAACUGUAUGCUUACAAAGGGUUAAAAUGGUAUAUUUUAUGUUAUGCAUAUUUUACAACAAUUUUUUUUAAGUUAAUGGGGCCGGGCACGGUGGCUCACACCUGUAAUCCCAGCACUUUGGGAGGCCGAGAUGAGCGGAUCACUUGAGGUCGGGAGUUCAAGACCAGCCUGGCCAACAUGACAAAACCCUGUCUCUACUGAAAAUACAAAAAUUAGCCUGUAGUCCCAGCUACUUGGGAAGCUGAGGCUUGAGAAUCACUUGAAUCUGGGAGGUGGAGGUUGCAGUGAGCCGAGAUCAUGCCACUGCACUCCAGCCUGGGCAACAGAGCAAGACUCUAAGAAAAAAAAAAAAAGUUAAUGGUAUUUGCUAGUCUUCAAGGUCAAUAAAGAAAAGUGAAGGGUAACCAGGUAAAUGUGUCCCACUCUACAGCUAAUUUUGAGGAGACCAGAAACCUAAGGGCAAGAAGGAGUAUUGGCAACUGUUAAAAGGAAAGAAAAGUAGACUCUAUCCCAGGAGCCUGCAGCAGAGAAGAAAAACAAAAACCAAAACAUUUGAGAGGCAGGAUGAGCAUCUGAACUGGCCCGGUCCUGGAGUUUGGAGUAGAUAGACCUUUGAGUGAUGUAGAGACAUAGAGGCCACACAUUCCUCCAGGCCUGCCCCAUCACAAGGCCAUCCCUCUCACUCUUCAUUGUCUUUUCCAAAAUAUUGCUGUUCUUGCCUUCCUCAGUAGUCUCUUCUUUUGAACUACAGGCUAUCCUGUAACACCAUCACUUUCCCAUCCUCUCCCACAGUGUGCCUGAGAGCCUUAAUAUCUGGUUUGCCGUUUCCUGGACUCUUGCCAGUUAAUGGGGUAAUUUCAACAUUCAUGUUGAUGACUUAGCCAAUCUCAUUUCCUCUGUUUCCAUAUGGCCAUCUUCAUCUUUGGUAACCCAUUCCUGAGGCCACACCCUGCAAUAAUAACAAUAGUCAUGACUAUAUAUCAGAACUUGCCAAGUGGCAGGCACCAUGCUAGUAAAUUCACAUCAUUUUCCGUAACCCUCACAGAUAAUGUAAAGUCAGGCUAUAGCACUCCUAGGUAGAGAUGGCCCAGUGUCACAGAGAUAAUGACUAGAUAGGGGCUAGGAUUCUAAACCUGCUGCUCAGACUCCCAAGUCCAUGCUCUCCUCUCUUUAUAGCACAGCCUCAGAACACAUCUGAAAUAUAAACCCUGAAACUCCCGGUCUCUGACCAUACACUCUUGCCUUGACCUCUUCCACCAAACCUCUUCCUUGGCCUCAUCAAAUGUCCAACCUCUCAAUGCUUGCUUUUAUUCCAAAUUUAUCAAUCCUUCCUGAUGUUCUUCCUUCCAUACCUGUGGCCAGAGGAAAUGCUGAGAAAAUCCUCAUAAGACUGUUUCUUUGGCUCAGUGCCCAUGCAAUGAACUCCCUCCCUUUGAUCAUCAGGCUACUGAUUAAAUUAGUAAAAUCCUCUAGGCCUAAAAUUGUAAGCAAUGCUAUAAUGGUGAUAUAAGUGCUGAACUUUAAUAAGUGUGAUAGAUUGGUUGGAACCAAGUGGAGAGAAAACAGCUGAUGGCAGGUGGCACAUGAUAAGAACCAUGGCUAUUCCCAGUUGGUCUCAUAAAAAUGAGGCCCCAUGCUUCCUCUCAGGGCUGUUUGAUCCAGCAAGAGUGCAUUCUGACCGUGAUGUCACUGCUGGCAUCCACUGAAAGACAUGCUCUCUCCCUCCAUCUUGAAGACGGUGACUCAACACCCUAGGGUUUCCACAAGUGGCUGGAAAAAAUUCUCACUCCCUUUACCAUCCAUCAACAUGCACCCACUGCCACUGAGUGAUUGUGACAGUAAAGUGUGCCCUUCAGUAGAGACCUCCCUUCCCUCUUCAAGACUAAGGCUUGCAGGAGGAGUUGAGGAGGGAAACAAAGUAGAAUUCUGUAGUUUAAUGUGAAAGCAUAGGUAAGCAUGUAUGUUCUUUGUCAUUAGACAAAGAAUAUGACAGACAAAAAUGCAAAAGCAUAUGAGAUAGACCUAUAUGUAACAAGUUCUGAACUCUUGGUCAUCAAUAAUUCAGAGCCUAUCCUAGUCAAUCGCUUCAACAACACUCUCAACAUCUCCAUUCUCUUGCCCUCUUGCCCAGUCCUUCUGCUCACCCUUGACAUUCCACAGCAACUCUGUUUUCUCCAAUUCUGAAUAUUCUGCCACUGUUGGAAAAGAAAAUCAUAAAACUAUGUUGAUUAUCUAAAUUACGUUUUAAAGCUCAAACCUCAGUUCUGCCCUGCAUAUUCCUGUAUUGUGUUUCCUUACAGCAGCAUUUCCAAAUUUGUUCCAUGUUGCUCAAGUUCCCUACCCCAACCCUAGCCCCUUGACCCUCACAAGACAACACAGCUUCCUAAUGUCCAAGAAAAAAAAAGCAGUCAUCCACAAUUUUUAUCCCUUUCAAGUUUUACUUCCACUUACCUUCCCCACUUCUUGUUCAAAAAGAAAGUACCCCACUUCUAUCCAGGGCCAGUCAAUCCAUCAGCAUGUUGAUCCUGGCCUUCCUCUUCUAGGAUGUUUCAUGAACUCCAGACUUCUUCAUCCAAAAAAAAUCAAUCACUAAAGCAAGCCUUCCCUCAGUUCUACAUACUCAUCAAACCACCGCCCUAUGGCUGCCCUUCCAUGAGUACCCACCUGUUUUUGGUACUCAUGCCCUCCACUGCCUCACCUCCCCAUUCAUCCCUCAAUUUGUCAUAAUUUAGCUCCC
This 3717-nucleotide long non-coding RNA is filed under the name Homo sapiens (human). Its description in RNAcentral is "HSALNT0201774". Lineage: Eukaryota; Metazoa; Chordata; Mammalia; Primates; Hominidae. The record is from RNAcentral.